UAAUUUAUCUAAAAGACUAAUUGUUAUUGAAAUGAAAUUGGGUUUGAAUAGAGUGGAAUAGAUAGAUAAGAUUUGUAUAGCUGAUUCGAAUUAGUUUGGAAUUGGGUUGUAGUUUAAUUGAUAUUAUGAUUGAUAAUUGUAUGGGUCAAAACUCGACUCGUGAUAAUUAAUAAGAUUAAUUUACUCAUAGGCAUAUUCAGGUUGAUUAAGGACACAACCAUUCGUUAAUAAUAAGUGCUCAAAGAUCGCUCAGCCCAAUCAGCGAGGCUACGACCUACUCGCUAUUGACGGACGUCCCCUCAACAUGGCCGUGUCUGCCUAAUGCUAGCUGGCAAGAUUCACUGCUAUAAAUACUAAGAGAAGUAACUUAGUAGGGGACUGCUUUUUCUUCUUCACCUCUACUUUCGAAAGAAGAGAGAAACCAUUGUAAGGCUCUGAACCUCUCCAUGGAGAGGCAGACCAAAUCGAUACCUUUAAUAAAAGAUCUUUUACCCUCAUCUCUUUAACAAAUAACAAAUGUCUUUUGUAUCUCAUUAAUUUGGUCUUUUGGUUUUUUACGAUCUGCUAUGAUUUGCCCUCCAUUGAUUUUAGUUAUUUUAUGCUUAUAUACAACUGUCUCUUGCAUUUAUUCAUUUGGUCUUUUGGUUUAUUACGAUCUGCUAUGAUUGAUCCUCCAUUGAUUUUAGUUAUUUUAUGCUUAUAGAGUGUAUGAAAACUUUGAGCUAAACAAUUUGACGCCGUCUGUGGGGAUUUCAUAGCAGAAUCACGUAGUUCAUCCUCAGACCGAAAAGGAAAGAAGACACCCAAAAGGGGAAGCAACCCAGCGGGUGAAGGGAACUCAAAAGCUCCGGCAAGAGUCCAAAGCCCUAACCCCCAUUCUCGAGAAAAAGAAGGAAUAAGAAGAGAAAGUAGAUACCCCCUCCCUACGGGGAGAACACGGGCGAGGGACCCUCAUCCCCUCGAUACGAGACCCUGCCGGAAAGUGGCACGAAGACAUCUUGAACCAAGAUCCAUAACAGAAUCAGGUGAAAACAGGUCAGACGAAAAGCCAAAAGUUCAACUAUGAGUUGAACUGGGACUCAUGCUAUGUGCCUUUGACAACAAAAUUGCAAAGGUGUAACUACGACUGAACAACAGCUCAGGCUACGUGCCCUCGCCCAAAAGUUCAACGCCUUUGACAACAAAAUUGCAAAGGUUCGACUACGGUUGAACAACAUCUCAGGCUACGUGCCUGAUAACAACUAGGUCGGGAAUCCAAACUAGAGUAAGAAUUUGAGAAGUAAAUGCGGAAGCAAUAACAAUAAGGAAUUGAACAACUAGGAUUUAAUAGAUGAAAAUAAAGGAUAUGGGAAAAUUCAGGGAAAGAAUUCCUAGAACUACUUCAAAGAACGCAUGUUCUAUAGCCUUGACAAGAUCAAAGUAACAACGUCUUAAUUUAUGGAAGAAAUCAAACGCCUUUACUUAAAAAGAAAAUCAAAACAAUAGAUUCGGAUCUUGACCGCUUUACGAGUAACUUGAGACGACAAUUAAUAACUAGUAUUAAUCGCCUUCUAAGAAUAUCACAAAGGAAUCAAAGAUAUCAUAAAAGAGAAGAAAUCUUACUACCUCGAACUAUGAACUAGUAAAGGUUGAAAGAUAAAUCUCAAAGCACAAUUAACAAAGGUUCAAAAGAACUCUCAAAGUAUGAUAUAAUUAAUCAAUAAUAUUGUGUCUUAUGAAUAAGAAGACUCCCUAUUUAUAGGAGAGUACUAAGGCAUAAAAGUCCUUAAAAUUAGGGAGGGAGAUUGCUAAGGCAUCCAAAGUCAUUACAAUUAGGUAGGAUGAUUGCUAAGACAUCCAAAGUCAUUAAAAUUAGGUAGGAUGAUUGUUAAGGUAUCCAAAGUCAUUACAAUUAGGUAGAGGGCGGCCAAGACCCUUUGGGGCAUAUUUGGGCCUUAAAACAACUAUUUUGGGCAAUUGGUUUGGAAAUUAGGUAGGGGAGGACAAGACCCUUUGGGGCUUAUUUUGGCCUUAAAACAACUAUUUUGGGCGAUUGGUUUAGACUCCAAUUGUGCUCCUUUUGUAACACUUCAUUUUGGACCUCUUUUAAGCUCAUUUUGAGCCCAUUUGGUGGACUUCAAGGGCCGAUUUGGGUGAUCCGAUACUCCUUUUCUUGGACUACAACUUGAGCCACCAAACAAUUGUAAAACUUAAACAAUUCUUCUCCUUUGGGCUUGAGCACUUCGUCUAGAGUUAGCAGCUUCUUUAUUUUCCAUUGAAGUCCAGCAACCUUCAUCUGCAAUUUUUUAGCUUAAGAUCUUGUAAAUGGCCUUCUUGGAGCUUCCAAAACUCUAUCCUUAUCAGUGAUGCUAUCAUUCCCCUCUUCUUGAAAAGAAUUCAUCCGCGAAUUUGAUCCUACGUCAAACAAAGACAAGGCAGCAACAUUGAAUGUCACACUCACUUGAAACUCACAAGGAAGGUCCAGCUUGUAAGCAUUAUCUCCAAUCCUUUCAAGGACUUGAAAGGGGCCAUCUCCUCUAGGAUGCAGCUUUGACUUCCUUUUGGAAGGAAAUCUCUCCUUUCUAAUGUGAACCCAAACUAAAUCUCCAGGUUUAAUUAUAACUUGUUUUCGACCAUUAUUCUUUCUCAAGGCAGUUUCCUCAUUUUUCUUCUCAAUUGUAAGCCUUGUUUGCUCGUGAAUUUUUUUUAUCAUCUCAGCCUUUGUUCUACCAUCAAGAUUAGCAAUAUUAUUAGUUGGUAAUGGUAAUAAAUUAGCUUUUGUUCUACCAUCAAGAUUAGCAAUAUUAUUAGUUGGUAAUGGUACUAAAUCAAGUGGAGCAAAGGUAUUAAAGCCAUAAAACCCCUCAAAAGGUGACAUACUUAUAGAAGAAUGGAUUGUUCUAUUGUAAGCAAAUUCAAUCAUAGGUAAGUGAUCUUCCCAUGAAGUUAACUUACCUUUCAAAACAACCCUCAACAUGUUUCCUAAGGUUGUAUUAACUACUUCAGUUUUUCCAUCAGUUUGUGGGUGACAAGAAGUAGAAAACAACAAUUUAGUGCUUAACUUCCCCCAAAAUGAGCAUCCCUAUCACUAACUAUAGUUCUAGGUAUACCAUGCAAUUUGACAACCUUUUUUACAAAAAGAUUAGCAACAUGUGAAGUAUCAUUAGUCUUUAAACAAGGAAUAAAAUGUGCCAUUUUGGAGAACCUAUCUACCACAACAAAUAUACUAUCCUUACCAUACCUUGUUCUAGAAAACCCUAACACAAAAUCCAUAGAAAUAUCAAUCCAAGGUGAAGUAGGAAUAGGUAAUGGUGUGUAAAGACCAUGUGGUAAUACUUUAGAUUUAGCUUGUUUACAUUCCAAACACUGUGUGCAUAUUCUUUCAACAUCUUUUCUCAUUCCAGGCCAAAAGAAAUUUUCAGCAAGUAUGUCUAAUGUCUUUGGAACUCCAAAGUGCCCCAUAAGGCCUCCACAAUGUGCUUCCCUUACAAAUAUUUCACGCAAAGAGCAAUUAGGGAUGCACAACUUAUUUUCCUUAAACAGAAACCCAUCUUGGAGGUUAACCUCUCAAAAGGACUCAACUUACAAUCUGCAAAAAUUUUGCCAAAGUCAACAUCAUUAGCAUAAAGUCCCUUGAUUUGAUCAGAACCCAUCAAUUUAGAAGUCAUGGUAGAAACUAAGACAUACCUUCUUGAAAUUGCAUCAGCAACAUUCUCUUUCCCUUGUUUGUAAGAAAUUACAUAAGGGAAAGUUUCAAUAAAUUCAACCCAUUUAGCAUUCCUUCUACUAAGCUUACCUUGGCUCUUCAAGUAUUUUAAGGAUUCAUGGUCAGUCUUACCAACCCACUUAGCAUGCAUUCUAUUAAGCUUACCUUGACUCUUCAAGUAUUUUAAGGAUUCAUGGUCAGUCGUAUUCACAAACUCUCUUGGCCACAAGUAAUGUUGCCAUGUGGCUAAAGUCCUUACCAAAACAUAUAGCUUUUUGUCAUAAGUAGAAUAGUUCAAUGUGGCUCCACUCAACUUCUCACUAAAGUAGGCAAUAAGUUUAGAAUCUUGCAUCAAAACAACACAUAUUCCUUUGCUAGAGGUAUCACAUUCAACUUCAAAAGAUUUAGAAAUAUCAGGCAAUUAUAACAAUGGAGCAGAACAUAACUUUUCUUUCAACAAGUUAAAAGCAUCGUCUUGUUCUUUUUCCUAUUUAAAAAUCUUAUCCUUUUUAAUAACUUCCGUUAAAGGAGAAGCAAUGGUGCUAAAGUCUCUCACAAACCUACUAUAAAAACUAGCAAGCCCAUGAAAACUCCUAAUUUCAGUUACACUCUUGAGUUUAGGCCAUUCCUUUAUUGCUUUGAUUUUAUCUUCAUCAACCUCAACUCCUUUAGAACUAACUACAAAACCCAAGAAAAUCACACGAUCCACACAAAAAGAACACUUUUUAAGAUUAGCAAAUAAAACUUGCUUUCUAAGAACUUCAAAAACUUGUUUUAGGUGUUCUACAUGCUCCUCUAAAGUGUUAAAAAAGAUCAAGAUAUCAUCAAAGUACACUACAACAAAUUUCCCAUGAAAAUCCUUAAAGAUAUGAAAGUGCUAGGUGCAUUAGUCAAGCCAAAAGGCAUAACUAACCAUUCAUAAAACCCAUAUUUGGUCUUAAAAGCAGUUUUCCAUUCAUCUCCAGGAUUCAUUCGAAUCUAAUGGUAACCACUUUUUAGAUCAAAUUUAGAAAAGAUCUUGGAUCCAUGUAAUUGAUCCAACAUGUCAUCAAGACGAGGAAUAGGAAGGCGAUACUUUAUCGUUAGCUUGUUGAUUGCUCUGCAAUCCACAUACAUCCUCCAAGUUCCAUCCUUUUUGGGUACCAAUAGGACGGGAACCGAGCAUGGGCUCAUGCUCUCUCUCACAAAGCCUUUCUGAAGCAACUCCUCAACUUGCCUUUGAAGCUCUUUUGUCUCUUCUGGAUUACUCCUAUAAGCAUGCCUAUUUGGGAUUUGUGAUCCAGGCACAAAAUCAUUUUGAUGCUCAAUGCCACGUAAAGGUAGUAAUCUAUUAGGAAUAUCUUCAGGAAAGACAUCUUCAAAAUCCUGCAAAAGAGAAGAAAUACUACUUGGCAAAGAAUUAGUAACUCAGAAUUAAUCAAAGCUUGUAAGUAAGUAGUAUUACGGGCAACCCUUCUUUUCUCGCAUUUAACCACUCUUUGGCUUUUAUAUAGAAACUCUUUUUUUUUCUUUCUUUAGCCUCUUUCCACUCACCAAGACCUUCUUUUUUCACUCAAACCCCUUUUUAUCUCUUCUCUCAAAUUGCUACUCUCUCUCUUUCUCUCGGCCAUCACUCUUUUUUUUCUAAUUCUUGGCCACCUUUCUUUUCUUUUUAUAAGUUUACUUUUUAUCUCUUCCCUUGGUUUUCCCAUUGUUUCCCUCAAUCUCUUUUGAUCUUGAAACACUUGAGAAGGAGAUAAAGGUGCAAGAGUAAAUUUCCUGCCAUUUAGUUCAAGAGAAUAUCUAUUCUUUUUUUCAUCAUAAAAAACAUUCAUGUCAUACUGCCAAGGACGGCCGAGUAAUAUAUGACAAGCUUGCAUAGGUACUCUGUCAUAUUGCCAAGGACGACCGAGUAAUAUAUGACAGGCUUGCAUAGGUACUAUGUCACAAAGAAUUCAUCCUCAUAUCUACCAAUAUUAAAUGAAAUCAUGCAUUGUUUGUUCACCUUUAGUUCACCACUAUCAUUUAACCGUUGGAGUCUAUAGGGAGUAGGGUGUUUCUUGCAUGCAAGUCCCAGUUUUUCCACAAAGUAUGAACUCACCACAUUAGCACAACUACCACUAUNNNNNNNNNNNNNNNNNNNNNNNNNNNNNNNNNNNNNNNNNNNNNNNNNNNNNNNNNNNNNNNNNNNNNNNNNNNNNNNNNNNNNNNNNNNNNNNNNNNNNNNNNNNUAUCCCACACCUAGUAUGGAAUAUGUUCUCUCUUUGUGCUUCACUAUUGCUUCCCAAAUUGAUAGUCAUAAUCCUCCUAACUACCCCAACCAUUCCAUCAAUAGGUAGUUCUACAUCAUCUUCAUCACUCACCUCUCCCUCUUCUUCUCCCUCUUUUUUCACUCUCAUAUCCUCCAUCUUCUCUAAGAAUGAUGUUUCUUCUACUUGGACAUUCANNNNNNNNNNNNNNNNNNNNNNNNNNNNNNNNNNNNNNNNNNNNNNNNNNNNNNNNNNNNNNNNNNNNNNNNNNNNNNNNNNNNNNNNNNNNNNNNNNNNNNNNNNNNNCUUUACAUUUAUGACAUUGAAUAGAACUAGAAGGUGUAAAAGGUUUAGGGUUAAAGGUUUUACCUCCCUCUUUGUUCUCAAAUUUACCUUUACCCUUUUCUUCUUGAGGUUUAGAAGAACUCUUCAUCUCAUGAUUUGGCCAUGGCUCCUUGGCGAUGGUGCAUGUCCUACCUUUUCACAUGCUAGUCUGCUUUCUUUUAUUUUGAUUUUCUACUUUUACACACAAAUCAACUAACUCAUCUAUUGUUACAUAUUGUUGCAAUUCUACUACAUCGGCUAUUUCCUUAUUUAAACCAUUUAAAAACCUAGCCAUUGUAGCCUCUUCUUCCUCCGUACAAUUAGCUUGGAUCGUAGCUAUAUCCACAGCCUUAAAGUACUCACCACGGACAUGGACCCUUGCUUUAAUGUUUGAAGACGUUGUUGUAGCUCUCUUUGAAAGUGUGAUUGCACAAAUCUCUUCCUCAUCACCCUAUUCAUCUCAGACCAAGUAGCAACUGGUGCUUUUCCUUCUUGCAAUUUAUCCCUAGUAUGCUUUUUCCACCAAAUAGCAGCAUAGUCAGAAAACUCAACAACAGCAAGUUUAACCUUCUUACCUUCAGAGUAGUCCUUCCUGCAAUCUAUCCCUAGUAUGUUUUUUCCACCAAAUAGCAGGAUAGUCAGAAAACACAACAACAAGAAGUUUAACCUUCUUACCUUCAGAGUAGUUGUAACAGUCAAAGAUGGCUUCAAAUUUUCUCUCCCAAUCAAGAUACAAGUCUAGAUCCCUUGUUCCCUUGAAAGAUGACAUCUUCUUCUUUAUACUACUUAUAUUAUCAUCUUCUACUCUACCUCUAUGUCCCCUCCUAUCUCUUCCCACCCUAUCAAAAUCAAUAUAAUUAAAAUCAUUUUUAAAGUUUUCUUGAUUUACAAUGGGAGUGUGGGGUACAUUUCUCCUAGCUUGGGGUCUAACAUUAUUUUCCCUCCUAAGUUCAGCUAUUGUAUCAUUUUGAUCGGCAAUUGUAUCUCUCNNNNNNNNNNNNNNNNNNNNNNNNNNNNNNNNNNNNNNNNNNNNNNNNNNNNNNNNNNNNNNNNNNNNNNNNNNNNNNNNNNNCAAAUUCAACCUUUCAAAUUGUUGAUGCAUAGCUUGCAAGGUAAAAUCGUUUCUUGCUUUGAUUUCGGCUUCUUGGAGAACCCUUCGUUUAUCAUCACUACCUGUAUGCGACAUCCUUUCUAAAAAAACUAAACUGUAUCACACAAAUUAGCUUCUUUUUUUUUUUCUACCGGAAUAACCUUUGAACAAAAUACUUUGUAGAUUUAUAGUUAAACCCAACUUGUAUGAAGUUUUUAGUAGUAAAAUUCAGAUUUUUUUGGGAACUAUUGAAAGAAAAACCAAAUCCUAGAACUAUUAGACUUGGCUGAAACAAGACACGAACAAAAAGGGAGGAUAUAAAUAUGUAGAUUACAGUGAGUAAGAAAAUCUAGGAUCCCCUCUUCUUAUUUCCUUUGCUAACUUUUGGUAACAAAAUAGAUACAAAGAAUUUUUUUUUUGGAGAGCAAGCAAUUCUAUUUUUUUUUAAAAUUGAAUUUUCGUUUUUUUGUUUUUUUUAAAAUUUUUUUUUUGUUUUCUUUUCUUUGCUCUUAGUAUACAAGAAAUCCCAAGACUUACCAAGAACGAAAUCUUGAUAGAACCGCUCUGAUACCACUUGAUAAAUGCGGAAGCAAUAACAACAAGGAAUUGAACAACUAGAAUUAAAUAGAUGAAAAUAAAGGAUAUGGGAAAAUUCAGGGAAAGAAUUCCUAGAAUUUCCAAGAACGCAAAUUUUAUAGCCUUGACAAGAUCGACGUAACGUCUUAAUUUAUGGAAGAAAUCAAACGCCUUUACUUAAAAAGCAAAUCAAAAUAAUAGAUUCGGAUCUUNNNNNNNNNNNNNNNNNNNNNNNNNNNNNNNNNNNNNNNNNAAGCAAAUCAAAAUAAUAGAUUCGGAUCUUGACCGCUUUACGAGUAACUUGAGACAACAAUUAAUAACUAGUAUUAAUCGCCUUCUAAGAAUAUCACAAAGAAAUCAAAGAUAUCAUAAAAGAGAAGAUAUCUUACUACCUUGAACUAUGAACUAGUAAAGGUUGAAAGAUAAAUCUCAAAGCAUAAGUAACAAAGGCUCAAAAGAACUCUCAAAGUAUGAUAUACUUAAUCAAUAAUGUUGUAUCUUAUGAAUAAGAAGAACUCCCUAUUUAUAGGAGAGUACUAAGGCAUAAAAGUCCUUAAAAUUAGGGAGAGUGAUUGCUAAGGCAUCCAAAGUCAUUACAAUUAGGUAGGAUGAUUGCUAAGGCUUCCAAAGUCACUAAAAUUAGGUAGGAUGAUUGCUAAGUUAUGCAAAGUCAUUACAAUUAUGUAGAGGGCGACCAAGACCCUGUGGGGCAUAUUUGGGCCUUAAAACAACUAUUUUGGGCAAUUGGUUUGGACUUCAAUUGGGCUCCUUUUGUAACACUUCCUUUUGGACCUCUUUUAAGCUCAUUUUGAACCCAUUUGAUGGAUUUCAAGGGCUGAUUUGGGUGAUCCAAUCCUCCUCUUCUUGGACUGCAACUUGAGCCACCAAAUAAUUGUAAAACUUAGACAAUUCUUCUCCUUUCGUGGACUUCAAGGGCUUAUUUGGGUGAUCCAAUCCUCCUCCUCUUGGACUACAACUUGAGCCACUAAAUAAUUGUAAAACUUAGACAAUUCUUCUCUUUUGGGCUUGAGCACUUCGUCUAUAGUUAGAAACUUUUUUAUUUCCCAUUGAAGUCCAGCAACAUUCGUCUGCAAUUCUUUAGCUUGAGAUCUUGUAAAUGGCCUUCUUGGAGCUUCCAAAACUCUAUCCUUAUCAGUGAUGCUAUCGGUGCCAUCGCCCAAAAGUUCAACUAUGAGUUGAACUAGGACUCAGGCUAUGUGCCUUCGACAACAAAAUUGAAAAGGUUCAACUACGGUUGAACAACAUCUCAAGCUACGUGCCAUCGCCCAAAAGUUCAAAUAUGAGUUGAACUGGGACUCAAGGCUAUGUGCCUUCGACAACAAAAUUGCAAAGGUUCAACUGCAGUUGAACAACAACAUAGACCACACGACCUCGCACAAAAAUUCAACUACAGAGUAAACCGAGGCUCGGGCUAAGCGCCCUUAACAUUGGACGCUGCAAGACCUAUUCCCCUACUAACGAAGGGACAAGUUAAGCACCCUCGCCAAUCAAGUAAGUACGCCUAACUCGAACUAAGAUUCAGACCGCGAUAAGUUCGGCCCCAGUCGAAUUACAAGGCCACGGCCAACAAUUCGACAACGCCCGAACUGGGACUAAGGCGACACGCCUCCCUCGCAAAAUAACAGCCACAACUUACUCAUGCCAAGUAAAGGAAAUGAUAAACGAAAAGAGGUCAAUCACGGCUAAGGCCAUCGACGCAAGCAGCCCACCUAGUUUUUGACUAAGGCAAGCAAACGACCCGACAAUAGUCGGAUUCAUCCAACUGACCAAAGACCAUCAACGUCAUCAUGGCCAAGGCCACCGACGUUAUCACGACUAAAGUCGUAGGGAGAUCAACACGGCCCCCCCCUCCCCCCAGGACACUCUAAAGGCGAAACCCCCCUUGGACGAGUGAAAAAGAAAACUCGAAAAAAAAGAACAUAAAAUUGUAUAUAUAUUCACAGCCUUAUUUACAACAGGUCGCCUCCAUUUAAAUACGGCCAAGGCCAGCAAAAAAAAAAAGAGAAAGCCAAACGGCAACAAAAAAGAACAACAACAAAACAGAAUAAAAGCUAACUCUAUAAAAACCCCUUUUACUCAACGCCCCCCGCGCCACCCUCAUGGCCGCCCGCACCAUCAUUGGCGCCCUCAGCGUCAUCAUCGGUCACGGGAGUGGCUGGGUCGAAGCCACAACCAAGACGAGCUUCACGAGCCUUUUGGUGAGCCCCCUCAUAAACAGCCUCGGGCACGACGCCGGCCUGCCACAAUUUCCUGUAUACGUCAAGCUAGGCCUCAGCAAAAGACCAAAGAUCACGAGCGGGGCCGUAAGAGGCAGCCUGGUCCCCGCCGCCUCCAACGCCCCGACCUUCAUCGAAGCGUCCCUGGCUUGCCGCCUCGAAGCAGUGAGCUCCUCGUCCAGCCUGACAACCUGCCUAAUCAGGGACUUAGAGGCCUCCGCCAAAGCCUCCUGACUCCGACGCUCCUUCUCAUCUGCAGCAUUUCUCUCAGCCUCCACCUCCUCGUCCCUACGACGAAGUUGCUCCUCAAGAGCACUAACCCUGCUCUGAGCUUGCUGCACUAGAAGCUCCCGCCUCGCCAACUCCUCAACCAACUCUCGGAUGCGAGGUUGUUCCUCAGAUGCUCGCACAUCAUGCGACACCUAUCCCCGUAGCGACGAUAAUUCUCCAACACCCGCAAAAAAAGUCCCGAGCGAACGUUGGACCAUUGCAUGCUCUCUACCUCCAGAAGAAAGGUUUGUUAGACAAAAGUAGCCGGCUGCAAGGGUCGUUCCUCAGACGCUCAAGCAUCACGCGACACUUAUCCCGGUAGCUGCUAUACUUCUCCAGCACCAGCAAGAAGAGUCACGAGCGGACGUUGGCCCGGCGCAUGCUCUCUACCUCCAGAAGAAAGGUCUGCAAGACAAAAGCAGCGGUGAAGUUAGGAAACAAACCUAGGCAAGAAAAGAAACAAAAGAAGAUCACCACAUGUACCCUAAAACCCAUCACGGUCGCCUCGGUCAUCAAUCCGACGUCUGAGACGUCCCUCAGCGACCUGCUCCUCCUCCAAGCACAAGGGCUCAAACAUCGGUACCAGAUUGUCUUCCUCGAGCAGCAGAUUUUGGUCGGUAGGAAUCUCGGCAUAACGAUACAGCCCCUCUGCAUGCGCCGUCGCGUUGGUGAAGCCUUCCUGGAGCCUGCGGACGUCGUCGAACUCCAGGUCGGAUUCAGAGUCUAACUCCCCUCCCGCGACGACCCUUCCUUCCUCGACCGGCCGAGAGGUCGAAGCUUCUCCCCGUGCCAACGGGUUGAUACUUGUUUCCCUAACCAAAGCAGCCGCUGAGGAACCAACUUCCCUCUCAGCUGGGACUGAUAAUGUAGCCGCCGAAGCGACGAUUUUAUUACUGUCUAAGCCGACCGGGGCAACCCCAUUGUAUUUUCGCCUUCAAGGGCAGGCACAGCCGCCUCCUCCCCCUCAGCAUCCGAUGGCGGGGAGCCCAAAUGUACCACCUUUGUAGUAGGCGUAAAGGCGACCCUUCGCCUAACCAACAGUCUCUCCUCCUCCUCCUAACGAUGGUUCCGCCUUGGGGCGAACAACCCCGAAGACGCCUCGACCCGAGUUGUAGACCGUGCUGGGAAUGGGCCGCCGGCGACUCUGCUGAAGUCGCCCUCUGAAUAGGGCGUGGUGUCGGCGCCAUAACCAGCUGAGCAGUCGCACCCGCCCUGCGGAAAGCAAGCUGAGGAGCUCUCACACGGCGCACCGCCCCUGAUCAGCAAAAGAAAUGGAUUAAAAGGAAAGAAACUCAACAUGACCGAACAAAAGCGAGAAAUAACUCAAACACUCACCCGCAGCGGGCCUACGGCCGUGCCUUUCCCAGAAGGCCGGCCAUGUGCGAAUCCCUGCUGUCUGAGGAAGUAUUCACCAAUGACGGACAGAGGAGCCGGUGGUGCCCUCUCAGCUGCAAACACAAGAUAAAGUCAAUACCCCUUAGAGCAAAGAACAAAAAAAAGAACAAACACGGAAGACAGGACCCGAUGGGUAGAGAAUUCACGUAUAUGGUUCCAAGUCUCUGGGAAUUCCCCAACAUUCCCCACCAAAUGCACGGUCCUGACGUAGAAAAAGUUCUCGUACGAAUGAGAGUCGACCGUAUCGUCUAGCUCAGCAGUCAAACCCCGAACCCCACGAGGGACCAUUUGAAUCAUGGUACCGUAGACCCUUUAAGGGGCGUAAGAGUCAGCACGUGCCGCAACGUUAUUUCCCUUCGCGCCAAUUUCGCAUACUUGGCAAGCCUGGCGAAGAGCUUGUUAAAGAAGGGGACGAGUUGCCCAGGGCACACUUCAUAGUAACAACAGAAAUCCGCUACCAGAGCCGGAAGGGGAAGCUUGAACCCUAGUCUGAAAGGGCAAGCGUAGAAAACGCAAUAUCCGGGGCGGUCGAUAUGAACUCUCUCCUCUCUCUUGGUGAGGGAGAUGUCGGCAGAACGAGGAAUACCCCACUGCUCCCUUAACUGGGCAAGGCCCACCUCACCCAUUAGUGGGGCCUCAUUAACCUGGUCCUCCCCCUCAUCGGCGGUGAAGUCGGUUGCCGGACCCCCUGGGCAGAGAAAGGAUAUCGACUGCCGACGGGAUCCUAUCGGCCUCCGCUGACUCUGUGGCCCUCGCCACCACAGAGGACCCAUCGACCGCCGGAAGAGUCAUCGGAGAAAGCUCUGUGUGAGAACUGCUUGCCAUUGCUGAUUACGGGGACAAUGAGCGAACGAGGUUCACCAAAGAAGGUACAAAAACAGAGAUUGAUUGAACGAAGACGAAGAACAACACGAGAUGAUGAAGAAAAAGAGUAAGAGAAGUUGCUUCUUUAGGAAUCUUACUUAGACAGAUACUGAAAAUUGGGAAACUUAUAACAUAAUUCAUUAUUUAUACUGCAAAUUGGCAUUCACGAAUUCCAAAAGCCACCAUUAACUGUGCAACCAACCGUAAAACGGUUCAAAUCCACAGAAACGAGUGUCAUAAUGACAAGUAUCACGAAACGGUUUUGCAACCGUCAAUCGACACUUCAUCUUCGAAGCAAGUUUGGCAAUCCGGGUACGUGGAACACCCAGUGUGCCUCCGUACAUCGAGCAUCGUUGCAGUGUACGUCCAGUGCACCCAUAACCGCAGAAGCCACCUGCGGGAAUACAUUGUCCCAAGUGAAAACAUCCUACGAACAUCUUCCUGAAAAAAAUAUAUAUAAAGGGCUAUGAUCAUCUUCCUAAAAAGUAGAAAUGGCUACGGCCAUCCCACUAAAAAUACCGAGGGCACAACUAUCCCCCAAGCGUAAACAGCUACGGCCAAUCCCCAAAUGUAAAAUGGCUACGACCAUUCUCCAGGUGCGUUGAUGGUUACAACCGUCUCAUAAAUAUAAGCGACCACGGACGCCUUCAAGGUACAAAACGACUACGAUCGUUCUCAGUAAAUACAAAUGGCUACGGCCAUCCUUCAAGUAUAAAAGGCUAUGGCCAUCUCCUAAAUACAAAUGGCUACGACCAUCCUUCAAGUAUAAAAGUGGCCACCGCCAUUCCUAAGUACGAAUAGACACAGCCUUCCUCCAAAUAUAAAUGGCUACGGUUGUCUCCGCCAUCCUUCAAGUAUAAAAGUGACCACGACCAUUCCUAAGUUCGAAUAGCCACGGCCUUCCUCCAAAUAUAAAUGGCUACGGCUCUCUCCUGAAUAUGAAUAGCUACGGCUAUUCUCCAAGUAUAAGAGGCCACGGCUGUUUCCUGAAAAUAUAAGUGGCAGCAACCAUUUCUUAAGUAUAAACAACUACGGCCACCCCAGGCUACAACCGGAACGACCUCCGAUCUCCUUUUCUUCGAACCUAUAUGAAUCGCGUACGGUAAAGUCAGCUCAUCGAGUUCGACUGGACCUCGACCUCAAUAAGCGGAGGGACUAACUGUAUGGGUCAAAACUCGGCUCGUGAUAAUUAAUGAGAUUAAUUCACUCAUAAGCAUAUUCGGGUUGAUUAAGGGCACAACCAUUCGUUAAUAAUAAGUGCAAAGAUCGCUCAGCCCAAUCAGCGAGGCUACGGCCUACUCGCUAUUGACAGACGUCCCCUCAAUAUGGCCGCGUCUGCCUAAUGCCAGUUGCCAAGAUUCACAACUAUAAAUACUAAGAGAAGGAACCCUAGAAGGGGGCCUGCUUUUUCUUCUUCACCUCUACUUUUCGAAAGAAGAGAGAAACCAUUGUAAGGCUCUGAACCUCUCCAUGAAGAGGCAGGCCAAAUCGAUACCUUUAAUAAAACAUCUUUUACCCUCCUCUCUUUAACAAAUUACAACUGUCUCUUGCAUUU
RNAcentral lists this long non-coding RNA (14224 nucleotides) under Nicotiana benthamiana. RNAcentral's name for it is "long non-coding RNA (NBEN_LNC025745)". Lineage: Eukaryota; Viridiplantae; Streptophyta; Magnoliopsida; Solanales; Solanaceae. The record is from RNAcentral.